Cinara cedri is the source of this 738-nucleotide non-coding RNA. Lineage: Eukaryota; Metazoa; Arthropoda; Insecta; Hemiptera; Aphididae. The record is from the annotation of a GenBank genome assembly.
GGGCCAGAAUCGAAACUCGCGCGUUCCAAAACAGCGGAGAAACGAGUCGACGACGUCUGUUGUUUUACGGGAUUUCCGGAGGAGAAUUCGGUUGUGCGUAACUAGCGAACCUAGUGGCGGUCCGCGUCGGAAAGCUAACAAGUUCCGUGUGAAUUUCAACAACCGAACCCUAUGGGUCACGUGCGUCGACGUGAGGCUUUGCUGCCCUUCUCGCCGACUUAAUAUUGCCGACAAUCGUUAAUAAUACAAAUAUAAAUAAACAAAUACGAAAGAUCGCAGCGUAAGUAACACAUUGGAAAUAUUCAGGUUUUAAAGUGCAACUGUAAACGCCUUUUUUCCCUCGGUGUAAACCUCUGGAAUAUCAUUUGGAUUGACAUCGACAGACACGUCCCUUUCUACGCAUUGAUUAUGACGGACGGAGAAAAAAACCGGCCUCGAUUCACUGUUGAUCGUAAGCAUUUACAUUCUUCUCGUUGUUGCAGAGGAAACUGGUUAGACGAUAAAUGCAAAUUCUAAAUAAAUUAUCGAAACGAUAUUAUAAACGUAAACGUAUUUUUAAAAUUCAGUUGAAUUCUAAUUUUCGGGGCGCUAAGCCCUCCGGUCCCCUCUAAACACGCCUAUGAUCGUGUGAGUUUCGAACGGGUAUUCAACCCGUAUCGUAAAUCACAUGAUUCGUAAUAUGGAAAUUCUCACGUUCCGUUUCAGCGAUAGAUUAUCGGAACUCGCACGUUACAAACU